UACGUAGGGUGCAAGCGUUAAUCGGAAUUACUGGGCGUAAAGCGCGUGUAGGCGGCCGAUUAAGUCUGGUGUGAAAGCCCGGGGCUCACCCCCGGAAGUGCGCUGGAAACUGGUCGGCUAGAGUAUGGGAGAGGAAAGUGGAAUUCCCGGUGUAGCGGUGAAAUGCGCAGAUAUCGGGAGGAACACCUAUGGCGAAGGCAGCUCGCUGGGACGUAACUGACGCUGAGGAGCGAAAGCAUGGGGAGCGAACAGG
RNAcentral lists this ribosomal RNA (253 nucleotides) under uncultured bacterium. Its description in RNAcentral is "partial 16S ribosomal RNA". It matches the Rfam family "Bacterial small subunit ribosomal RNA", at positions 524 to 776 of the family's 1533-position model. The record is from RNAcentral.